UAGCUGCCUUGUGAAGGGCUUCC
Molecule: microRNA, 23 nt
Filed under: Bactrocera dorsalis (oriental fruit fly)
Lineage: Eukaryota; Metazoa; Arthropoda; Insecta; Diptera; Tephritidae
Description: bdo-miR-980
Gene: bdo-miR-980
Source: miRBase by way of RNAcentral